CCACGGGUGAGGAACUUCUUUUCUGCCUUUCUGUUCCUCAUCCCUUCUGAUUCACAUCCAUUGAUGUGAUUCACUAUUAUUCAUUGGAGAGGGAAUAUAAUUUCCUUUAGUUCCUGAUAAAGAAACCCUGACUAAAACAGACAGUCCAACCAACACACAGGCAGUUCAACUAGAACAAGCAGUCAAGAAAAAUGCGUCGAAAGGAAGACUAUGGUGUCUCAGCCAUCUCUUCCAUCGUUUUCUCCAUUAAAAGAUCUAUUGUUAAUGAUCUCAAUGAUUAAUUGCCAUAGCCAACUGUUGAAUUAUCUACAUUCACUUCCUGGUUGUUCUCAUCAUCCACUCAUAAAAAGCUUAAUUGCACUGCCCAACAAAAAUGGUACUAGUAGUGUAAAGCACAAAUGGCAGGAAUGUCUCAUGUAUGUUAACAAUCACUGGUGAGAACUUUUUGAAGAAGCGCUUUCAAUUUUAUUGAAAUC
RNAcentral lists this long non-coding RNA (476 nucleotides) under Androctonus crassicauda. Lineage: Eukaryota; Metazoa; Arthropoda; Arachnida; Scorpiones; Buthidae. The record is from RNAcentral.